UGAGAGUUUGAUCCUGGCUCAGGAUGAACGCUGGCGGUCUGCUUAACACAUGCAAGUCGAACGCAACCUUCGGGUUGAGUGGCGGACGGGUGAGUAACGCGUGAGAAUCUGCCUUGGGGUCGGGGACAACCACUGGAAACGGUGGCUAAUACCGGAUACGCCUUCGGGUAAAAGAUUUAUUGCCCUAAGAGGAGCUCGCGUCUGAUUAGCUAGUUGGUGAGGUAAGAGCUCACCAAGGCAGCGAUCAGUAGCUGGUCUGAGAGGACGAUCAGCCACACUGGGACUGAGACACGGCCCAGACUCCUACGGGAGGCAGCAGUGGGGAAUUUUCCGCAAUGGGCGAAAGCCUGACGGAGCAAGACCGCGUGAGGGAGGAAGGCUCUUGGGUUGUAAACCUCUUUUCUCAGGGAAGAAGCUCUGACGGUACCUGAGGAAUCAGCCUCGGCUAACUCCGUGCCAGCAGCCGCGGUAAUACGGAGGAGGCAAGCGUUAUCCGGAAUUAUUGGGCGUAAAGCGUCCGCAGGUGGCGAUUCAAGUCUGCUGUCAAAGCACGGGGCUUAACUCCGUAAAGGCAGUGGAAACUGAAUAGCUAGAGUGCCGUAGGGGUAGAGGGAAUUCCCGGUGUAGCGGUGAAAUGCGUAGAGAUCGGGAAGAACAUCGG
RNAcentral lists this ribosomal RNA (661 nucleotides) under uncultured bacterium. RNAcentral's name for it is "bacterial SSU rRNA". It matches the Rfam family "Bacterial small subunit ribosomal RNA", at positions 1 to 712 of the family's 1533-position model. The record is from RNAcentral.